AAACGUUCAUUUCAGUCAGUUGCACGCUUGCUCCGGAUGUUCGUAAAUACAGCUUUCGUGAGGAAUUGGCCUGGGACACGUUCGGGAGCUGGAAGCUGAAAGAGGAUAUUCGAUAUGAUCACUUUGCUCGUGGCAUGUAAGCUGACAAGAGAUAGCCUACUGAUGAUGCAGAUUCGCAACAACUAGACUUAUAGAAACAAGACUUCAGCAAGAUGCGGAGAGGUGAGUGUGACAAAUGAGAUAAGUUUCAAUAUUGUAUUACUAAAAUAAGAUUUAGUGUUCUCACAUCGUUUUAUUUUAAUAUAUUCAAGUCUAGGUGUUAACAUUCGAACACGUU
Long non-coding RNA from Styela clava, 337 nucleotides. RefSeq lists it as uncharacterized. The record is from RefSeq and is a predicted model, not a curated record. NCBI's taxonomy places the organism in Eukaryota, Metazoa, Chordata, Ascidiacea, Stolidobranchia, Styelidae.